UACGUAGGGUGCGAGCGUUAAUCGGAAUUACUGGGCGUAAAGCGCACGUAGGCGGAUAUUUAAGUCAGGGGUGAAAUCCCAGAGCUCAACUCUGGAACUGCCUUUGAUACUGGGUAUCUUGAGUAUGGAAGAGGUAAGUGGAAUUGCGAGUGUAGAGGUGAAAUUCGUAGAUAUUCGCAGGAACACCAGUGGCGAAGGCGGCUUACUGGUCCAUUACUGACGCUGAGGUGCGAAAGCGUGGGGGAGCAAACAGG
This 254-nucleotide ribosomal RNA is filed under the name uncultured bacterium. Its description in RNAcentral is "partial 16S ribosomal RNA". It matches the Rfam family "Bacterial small subunit ribosomal RNA", at positions 524 to 776 of the family's 1533-position model. The record is from RNAcentral.